Non-coding RNA from Sus scrofa (pig), 4092 nucleotides. The record is from RefSeq and is a predicted model, not a curated record. NCBI's taxonomy places the organism in Eukaryota, Metazoa, Chordata, Mammalia, Artiodactyla, Suidae.
AUGCUUCCAAUCCCAUUGUGCCACAGUAGGAACUCCUCUCUUGCCUUCUGAGACUGCCCACACGUCUCUCAAUAAAUCUACUUCUUACCAUCAUUUUGCCUCUCGCUGAAUUCCUUCUGUGCUGAGAUAUAAAGAAACUGAACUUCAGUAAGUCCUGGGACCAGGUGUGUUAUUUUUAAUUAAAAAAACAGUGGGUUCAAGCCCCAAUCUGGAUUUUGGCCAAAUUUGAAUCCCGGCCUGUGGGUUCAAGUCCCAAUCUGAGUCUUGGCUGGGUUUGAGCCCUGGCCUCUGGGUUUGAGCCCUGGCCUCUGGGUUUGAAUCCCAUAGAGAGUUAUAUGGUUUCAGGAUGCUGAGCCAGAGCACAAGCAUCAGUACUUCAGACACAUGUGCCCAAAUCUCCCACAGGGCUUGUCCUUCUUGCACAGUGGUUAUCAAAGUUUGGAACUUGGCCACUCUGAUAGGUCUAAAGUAGGGUUCCAUGGAUGUUUUGGUCAGCAUCUCUCUUAUUAUAAGUGAGAUUAAGCAUAUUUUCAAAUGUUUAAAAGCAUUUUCCUUUCCUGCAAAGGAUUUUUUAUCCAUUUUCCAAUUCAGUUAUUGGGUUUUUUCUUAUUGAUUUACAGCAGCCCUGUUCCCGUGUCAUAAAUUGCAUAUAUUAUAAUGCAUAUGAUACUGUCUUCAUAUCAGAGGCAUAAAUAAAACUUGUUCUUUUAAUGACUGCAUGAUAAUUCCAUUUUAGGGAUAUGCCAUAAUUUUAUUCUCAGUUUAUCAUUUGCCUUUUUACUUUAAUCAGAUGUUUUCUGCCAGGCAGAAAUAUUUGACUCUUAUCGGGUAGAAUCAAUCAAUUAUGUUAUUUAUGGCGAAGGGUUUUGUAAUAUAAGCCUCCAAUUCUGGAAGUCCCUUUUAAGGCACCAUGGUGGCCAAUGAGUUCAUCUCUAUGAAGCAGUGACCUCAAGAUGGCAAAGUUACCACCUAAAAAUGUGCCUGACCCAAGCUCUGUACUCCACCAUCAGGCCACUGAACUCUGGGUGGAACUAUCCCUAAACCUGGCCCCGCCCCCUCCCAUCUCAAGUGUGACAGUCUCAGAGCAGGGCCCCAGGCCAGCUUCAGGCACUCCUGCAGCGAGGAAUAAAGGCCCAAGGCCAAGUGGGAGGUGAUGCCACGGCUAGCCACGGAUAUCUGUGAGGAGUAACCCAUGCGCUUCCUCGCAUCAGUGAACACUGCUCAGGGAGUGUAGAAGGAGGGCGGGGGAGCUGAGCCCACCUACCAGCUCAUCACGCAUCCUACACACUCACUCAUCCGGAUUCGCAUUUUUCUCUGCAUUUUACUAAUUUAAUCCUCACUGCAGUGUUUCGCUGUUGGGUACAUCUCCAUCACGGACUUCAGCACGGCCUACACUUCUAGGAUUUACCGGGACCGCAAGGUCCCAUGCGCCCCCUCUCCUGGGAGAUGCUCUAGGAUUUGGGAUAAAAGUCAGACCUCACCGGUUUAUACCCCUCCUCGGCCCCGAAGCCUUCUCACUCUCCCUCUUCGUGUUGGGCCCAGUGCCAGGGAGACGCAGCCCCGCUGUUCCUGGAGAGUCUGGAUCAAAACCAGGGUGGGAGUCACCUCUUCUUCUAGCAAUGACUCCCCUCCCAGGCUUAAAAGCAUCAUCUAAAUUAAGCCGGAGGGGAGGGGCCAUCUGCUACUACAUUCUGUGUGUGGUCCCCUGCUGAAGCAUUUCCAGGAUCACUGAACUCCUGGGUGACAACAGGGACAGGACACCCCUGGCUUCACCUGAGGUGCUGGUGCUCUCACACAGGUAGGUCUUUGAAUCUAAGCAGUCAGCCCGCUAACCCUCACAGCCUCCCUGUCUCAUGGGAGCAUCUAUACAAACAGGGGUCCCUCCUGACCCUCCCACUCACUCCUCAGGAUUCAACACAUCUAGCUAGGCCUCCCUACCUUGGAUCCUCUGAAAUAGCAGAAUAAAUAUAAAAACACAUACUUAGAAGCCUGGAAAAUUAGAAAAUGUGCCAUCAGCAGAACAGAACAUGAGGGAAUUUCCAAGAGAGAAAGAAGCUGAGAUCAGAUUAAUGAUGAAACUCAAUAUCCAUUGCUGAGGAGCCGGCAAAGCUGGAGCCUUAUCUGGAAGUGAGGACCAGGUUUGCCCCCCAGAAUAAAGUCAGGGUGUAGCUGUAAAACAAGACAGAGAGCCGCAAGUGAUUGCUCCAUAGAAAUCAAAGCAAGGGCUCUGCCCAGCAACUGCAGCCAAAAUGAAGAGAGAGUGUCCCCAAAGCAGAGCCCAUGAAGGUGCUUGCCCUGGCUCAUCCCGCCUGUCUCCAUGUGCCUGGGGUUAGGGGUGCAGGGUUGCCAUGAUCAAUCAAAGUGGACAGUCCCUUCAGAAGGAAGGUUUACUUGUGUUACACAGCAAGAGUGAUCCGUCAAGACCACUGUUCCCAAGGAUGCUACACUCAGGACCCCCUUGCCAUCUAAAAAAUGCUUAAGGGCCCCACAGAGCUUUGAUUUCUAUGGAGCAAACCUACUGAUACAUAAUAGAAGUGAAAAAGAAGAAACAAAUUUUAAUAUUUAUACAUUUAUUUUAAAAUGAUAAAGCAUCACGUAAACAAAAAUAAUAUUUCUGAAAAUAGCUAUUUUUUUCUAAAAAUUGUUUAUUUAGUGAGAAGAGUGACAUUGUUUUAUAUUUUUAUAAAUCUCACCAAUGUCUGGCUUAAUAGACAGCUGCAUUUUCAUAUUUGCUUCUGAUUGCAAUCUGUUAUGAUAUCACACAUCAUGUAGACUCUGGAAAACUCUGCUGAGCACUCAUGAAAGAAAAAUGUCUUUGUAUUCCUAUUAGGUAGUUUUGAGUUUGUGGGUUCCUCUGAAAGAGUCUUAGGAACCCCCAGGGUCCAAGAGCCACACUUGAGAACCACUGUCCUGAGAUUCAUUUACAAAUGGGAUCAGACAAUCAAGAAUCCCUGUGUAUUUGAAAGAAAUCAACUGCUUGCUAAAGAAAUCAGACAAAGAGCUUCCAUUCUGGUUCAGUGGGUUAAGAAUCUGGCGUUGCUGCAGCUGUGGUUUGGUUUCAAUCCCUGGCCUGGGAACUUCCAUAUGCUGCAGGUACAACCAUAAAAAAAAGAGAAGGUGAAGGAAAAGAAGAGCCAGACAGACCCUGAAGAAAACAGGGUAAUGCAGGAACCAGAGAUUAUGUUAAAAUAAGUAUAAUUAAUAUCUUUUGAGAGGUUCAACCAGAUACAUUAGAACCAGUCAGAUGAUGAGUAGACACAGAAAACACACAAAAAUCAGUACUUUUUCCUAUAGACGUUAAUCACCAGGUAAGAGAUGGUAUUUGUAGUGGCAACAAAAAUCAUAAACAAUCCUGGUGGCUCAAUGGAUUAUGGAUACAGCACUGUCACUGUGGUGGCUCGGGUCACUGCAGUGGCAUGGAUUCUAUCCCUGGCCCUGGAACUUCUGUAUGCCAUGGGUAUGGACCCCCCUAAUAACAAAUAAUCCAGGUAUAAACCAAUUCUGGAAGACCUACAUAAACAGAGGCUUUAUAUUGUAUUAAAGAACAAAUAUGAGAGAUGUAUUUAUUAUGCUUCUUGCAAGAAGUCUCAGUAUUAUAAAAAUACUAUUAUAUUAUAUUUAUAGUUAUAAAAUACUGUUAGAUUUAUAUGAGUAGUUACAUGAGUUGCUCAGUAAACACCCCUCUGAAUUUAACUGGGUUAAGCUGGAUUUUUGUUAUGUGCAUCAAGAGCUGUACCUCAGAGGGAGUUCCCUGAUGGCCUAGUGAUUAAGGAUUCAGCAUUGUCACUGCUGUGCUCAAGUUCGAUCUCUGGCUCAGGAGCUUCUGCAUACUGUGUGUGGCAGGGACAAGCAAAAAUUAAAAAUAAAAAAAAAAUUUUAAAGAGUUGUUAUGGUUGCCAAGGGGGAGGAGGAGGGAGUGGGAUGGAUGGAGGAUCUGGGGUUAAUAGAUGCAAACUAUUGCCUUUGGAGUGGAUAAGCAACGAGAUCUUACUGUAUAGCACAGGGAACUAUAUGUAGUCACUUGUGAUGGAGGAUUAUGGAGGAUAAUGUGAGAAAAAGAAUGUAUAUUUGUAUGUGUGACUGGGCCAACUU